This is a long non-coding RNA of Saccostrea cuccullata (small rock oyster), 247 nucleotides long. RefSeq lists it as uncharacterized. The transcript is spliced from 2 exons. Lineage: Eukaryota; Metazoa; Mollusca; Bivalvia; Ostreida; Ostreidae. The record is from RefSeq and is a predicted model, not a curated record.
GGUCAUAAACACAAACCGUAUGAAUAAAAUGAAAAAUCUUACUUUGCAUUAGUGGUUAUUAUAACUGCCAGAAUACAAGUGGGCUACAAAAAGAGCAUCUAAAUUCCAACACAUCUAGCACAGUAAAAUGGUAAAAGUCUUGUUUACACCACAAAUGUUUAGGAGGUAAGAUAUAUUUAAAUCAUGCAGAAUAACACACUAAAGGUGAAUAUGUUUUAGCUCUUCCAAGUCAUAGUAUAUAAAAUAA